This 1180-nucleotide long non-coding RNA is filed under the name Gallus gallus (chicken). RNAcentral's name for it is "lncRNA (ENSGALG00010029088.1)". Lineage: Eukaryota; Metazoa; Chordata; Aves; Galliformes; Phasianidae. The record is from RNAcentral.
GGUGAAAGCAAUUCACCUGUGCAAUGGGAAGGGGUGGAACCAGGUUGCACCCCUCCCUGAGCCUCAUUUAAGGGCUUGCUGGCAUACUGGAAAGUUCUCUGCCUGGAGAUUCUGCCUUCUGGAGAAUUUGGUGGGCCCUGCUCUUUGGGAUGGUUCCACGGCCUUAAAUAAGAUGCUGCAUGAAAACAUGACUGUCUGCACAGGAUGCUUCACUGUAAUGCACGGCUUACAACCUGGUAUUAUUUUCACUCUAGCUAGAUGAGCCUCUGAUCUGAAGUAAUGUGGUGAGGAGACAACAAUUGCUGUUUCCAUCUUGCCUAAAGGUUUCUGGUCUGGAAGUGGAGUACUGUCUGUGUUGAAGACUGACUCAAGUCCUGCUGCCAAUGAGAAUGACUGGAAGUGCAGUCACCCAUACUUCAAACGCUUGGCUGAAGUUUUGAUAGAUUCUGGAUGUAUUUAUUCUUUGAAUAAGAACUUCUGUGGUAUUGUUACCUUUGUGUUAAUUUCUCCUGUGCUCUAGGCAUGAAACUCUUCCUUUUUUUUUCCCAAAUGUAGAAUUUGUCAACUGCAAUAAAGGGAGAUGCUUUUAUAUAUGAUAGAUGUCAUGACUUUUUUCCAUGUGACAGCAGUACUCCAAAUCUAAAAGCAUAUCUCCCAUGAGCCAAAUGAGGUCUCUGUGUUUAUCAGUAAUAAACGGUAUGCUUAUAGCAUGGUCUAAUAUAGAAGUAUAAAGUUGUUUUGUGUUCUGGAAUCAGAUGGGUUUUGACAGGAUUAAGCUGUAAGCUUACACACAAGAGUGCACUAACUGCUGUUAUCUUGUGCAGCUAUGAUUGCAAGAAUCUGAAUUUACGCAUUUCAAGCAAGUUUGAUGUCUGCAGCUGCACUUCAUUAAGCAGUGCAUGUUUAGGCCACCAAGGGUAUCCCUUGUCUCUAAGUAAAAAGCUGGAAUUCUGUUCAUUUUAAUAACAGGUACGGCACAAGUGUCAAUUAUGCUAUUCUGAGGUAGAGAAGUCACAGUUUUGGGAAGAGAAAUUGCAUUUCAUUGCUUGCUUUGAGUGAAUGAAUAAGCAACAUCUUGUUCUAUGGGCUCAGUGUCAUGGGACAAAAGGAAUUAAACUAGUGGCUGAUCUAAAAAUGCACCUAGGACAAUUUGGAUUCAAAAGAUACUGUUCUGAGGCAG